UAUUAAAGUUGUUGCGGUUAAAAAGCUCGUAGUCGAAUUUGUGUUCCGCGCCGCCGGUUCAUCGUACGCGGUGUUAACUGGCGUGUCGCGGAACGUCCUGCCGGUGGGCCUAAGUCCGCAAGGACGUCGGCCCGACCCAAUCCCGCCGCGGUGCUCUUCACUGAGUGUCGAGGUGGGCCGGCACGUUUACUUUGAACAAAUUAGAGUGCUUAAAGCAGGCUAAAACUUCGCCUGAAUACUGUGUGCAUGGAAUAAUGGAAUAGGACCUCGGUUCUAUUUUGUUGGUUUUCGGAACCCCGAGGUAAUGAUUAAUAGGAACGGAUGGGGGCAUUCGUAUUGCGACGUUAGAGGUGAAAUUCUUGGAUCGUCGCAAGACGGACAGAAGCGAAAGCAUU
RNAcentral lists this ribosomal RNA (395 nucleotides) under Calyptocephala attenuata. Its description in RNAcentral is "SSU rRNA". It matches the Rfam family "Eukaryotic small subunit ribosomal RNA", at positions 602 to 955 of the family's 1831-position model. The record is from RNAcentral. Lineage: Eukaryota; Metazoa; Arthropoda; Insecta; Coleoptera; Chrysomelidae.